CCCCACUGCUAUCGAGGUGGGACUAAGCCAUGCUAGUUGAACGACCCGGACUAUGGCGGGAAGUGGCAGACUGCUCAGUAACACGUAGCUAACCUACCCUUGGGACGGGUACAACCCCGGGAAACUGAGGUUAAUACCCGAUAGGUGUGGAUUCCUGGAAUGGUACCACGCCCAAAUGUAACGCGUCCAUGUAUGCGUGAACGCCCAAGGAUGGGGCUGCGGCCGAUCAGGCAGUUGGUGAGGUAACGGCUCACCAAACCUUUGACCGGUACGGGCCAUGAGAGUGGUAGCCCGGAGAUGGGCACUGAGACAAGGGCCCAGGCCCUACGGGGCGCAGCAGGCGCGAAACCUCCACAAUUCACGAAAGUGAGAUGGGGUUACCUCGAGUGCCGCCUGAUGAAGGCGGCUUUUCCAUUGUGUAAUGAGCCGUGGGAAUAAGAGGGGGGCAAGACUGGUGUCAGCCGCCGCGGUAACACCAGCCCCUCGAGUGGUGGGGAUGAUUAUUUGGCCUAAAGCGUCCGUAGCCAGCUCGGUAAAUCUCUCGUUAAAUCCAGCGUCCUAAGCGUUGGGCUGCGAGGGAAACUGCCGAACUAGAGGGUGGGAGAGGUCAGCGGUAUUCCUGGGGUAGGGGCGAAAUCCAUUGAACCCAGGAGGACCACCAGUGGCGAAGGCUGCUGACUAGAACACGCCUGACGGUGAGGGACGAAAGCUGGGGUAGCGAAUCGGAUUAGAUACCCGAGUAGUCCCAGCCGUAAACGAUGCAGGCUAGGUGUUGGGUCGGCCAUGCGCCGCCUCAGUGCCACAGGGAAGCCAUUAAGCCUGCCGCCUGGGGAGUACGGCCGCAAGGCUGAAACUUAAAGGAAUUGGCGGGGGAGCACCACCAGGCGUGAAGCCUGCGGUUU
This 902-nucleotide ribosomal RNA is filed under the name uncultured archaeon. RNAcentral describes it as "bacterial SSU rRNA". It matches the Rfam family "Archaeal small subunit ribosomal RNA", at positions 21 to 903 of the family's 1478-position model. The record is from RNAcentral.